RNAcentral lists this unclassified non-coding RNA (247 nucleotides) under Hevea brasiliensis (rubber tree). The record is from RNAcentral. Lineage: Eukaryota; Viridiplantae; Streptophyta; Magnoliopsida; Malpighiales; Euphorbiaceae.
GCCAAGACAAAUAAUCAAGUUUUUAAGUUUUAUACAUCAUCCAUCUAUAGAAACUGAUGCUUUUCACAGAUCCUUUUAGAUUGCUAUUAGAAAAUCAAGAAAUAAUGACCAGCAAAGUGAAAUUGCACAGUAAGUAAGUUAUUCACAAAUAAUCAAACACAGAUUACCAUGAAUUUCAAUUAUUGAACAAUAUCAUACAUUGAAGGCUUGAACUGAUUGGAUACUAAGACUCUUAAACCAAUCUUAU